CCCUUAGAUGUUCUGGGCCGCACGCGCGCUACACUGAUGCAUUCAACGAGUCCAACCUUGACCGAGAGGUCCGGGUAAUCUUUGAAACUGCAUCGUGAUGGGGCUAGAUUAUUACAAUUAUUAAUCUUCAACGAGGAAUGCCUAGUAAGCGUGAUUCAUCAAAUCGCGUUGAUUACGUCCCUGCCCUUUGUACACACCGCCCGUCGCUCCUACCGAUUGAGUGUGUUGGUGAGGAGUUUGGAUUGGCCUCGGAAGGUGGUUCGCCACCGUCCGUAGCUGAGAAGUUCUCCAAACCGCCCCACUUAGAGGAAGGAGAAGUCGUAACA
RNAcentral lists this ribosomal RNA (326 nucleotides) under uncultured eukaryote. RNAcentral's name for it is "partial 18S ribosomal RNA". It matches the Rfam family "Eukaryotic small subunit ribosomal RNA", at positions 1470 to 1796 of the family's 1831-position model. The record is from RNAcentral.